Sorghum bicolor (sorghum) is the source of this 581-nucleotide long non-coding RNA. RefSeq lists it as uncharacterized. Lineage: Eukaryota; Viridiplantae; Streptophyta; Magnoliopsida; Poales; Poaceae. The transcript has 2 exons. The record is from RefSeq and is a predicted model, not a curated record.
AACACUCAAGUUCAUAGAACAUCAAACUUGCUUUGGCUUUGAUCGUUCAAUCAACUAGUUAGCUGGUCAUCAUAUAUCUAUCCCAAGCUAGCGCCAAGAUGGCACCAGGGAAAGGAACAUUGCUCCUCCUGGCCUUUGCUGUGGUAGUUUGUCUAGGUUCUGUGAGUGGUACAGCGGCGGCUUGUACCAACACUCAGAAGGACAGCCUCCUUGUAUCAUGUAAUGGAAGCAUCAAGAAAGGAAAAAUUGGUUACCCAUCCAAAAAUAGCCCGUGCUGUAAGUAUGUGAGAGUCAUAGACAUGGGCUGCAUCUUCGGUCUUCUUACAGACAAAGACAAGAAACAAUACAACGAGUAUAAGAUCCGAAACCUUAGAAAACAUUGCUCACUUGCUCCUUAGGCCGCACUUAAUCUGGUCGCGGUGUAAAGUGACGCAUGCUAUUGCUCCUGAAGGGCAUGACAAAAAAUUGGAGAGGAGAUAUAUACAUCUGGUAGUUAUCUACUCGAGUAAAAUCAAUCUGGUUGUGAUAUGUUGCGACAUAUGUAUUGAUUUCAUGGAAUAAUAUAAUAUGUUGUUCGGGCU